RNAcentral lists this ribosomal RNA (253 nucleotides) under uncultured bacterium. Its description in RNAcentral is "partial 16S ribosomal RNA". It matches the Rfam family "Bacterial small subunit ribosomal RNA", at positions 524 to 776 of the family's 1533-position model. The record is from RNAcentral.
UACGUAGGGUGCGAGCGUUAAUCGGAAUUACUGGGCGUAAAGCGUGCGCAGGCGGUUUUGUAAGCCAGAUGUGAAAUCCCCGGGCUUAACCUGGGAAUGGCAUUUGGGACUGCAAGGCUUGAGUGCGGCAGAGGAGACUGGAAUUCCCGGUGUAGCAGUGAAAUGCGUAGAUAUCGGGAGGAACACCGGUGGCGAAGGCGGGUCUCUGGGCCGAUACUGACACUGAGGAGCGAAAGCGUGGGGAGCGAACAGG